Molecule: ribosomal RNA, 219 nt
Filed under: Campeiostachys nutans
Lineage: Eukaryota; Viridiplantae; Streptophyta; Magnoliopsida; Poales; Poaceae
Description: Elymus nutans partial small subunit ribosomal RNA
Rfam family: Eukaryotic small subunit ribosomal RNA (bases 40-219)
Source: RNAcentral
GGGUUAGUAGGUUGGUCAUGCCUCUGGUAUGUACUGGUCUCACUGAUUCCUCCUUCCUGAUGAACCUUAAUGCCAUUAAUUUGGUGUUUUGGGGAAUUUGGACUGUUACUUUGAAAAAAUUAGAGUGUUUAAAGCAAGCUAACGCUUGAAUACAUUAGCAUGGAAUAAUGAAAUAGGACGUUCGAUCCUAUUUUGUUGGUUUUGUAGAGCAUUGAGGUA